AACGAACGCUGGCGGCAUGCCUAACACAUGCAAGUCGAACGAGACCUUCGGGUCUAGUGGCGCACGGGUGCGUAACGCGUGGGAACCUGCCCUUAGGUUCGGAAUAACUCCCCGAAAGGGGUGCUAAUACCGGAUAAUGUCUUCGGACCAAAGAUUUAUCGCCUUUGGAUGGGCCCGCGUUGGAUUAGCUAGUUGGUAGGGUAAAAGCCUACCAAGGCGACGAUCCAUAGCUGGUCUGAGAGGAUGAUCAGCCACACUGAGACUGAGACACGGCCCAGACUCCUACGGGAGGCAGCAGUGGGGAAUAUUGGACAAUGGGCGAAAGCCUGAUCCAGCAAUGCCGCGUGAGUGAUGAAGGCCUUAGGGUUGUAAAGCUCUUUUACCCGGGAUGAUAAUGACAGUACCGGGAGAAUAAGCCCCGGCUAACUCCGUG
This 433-nucleotide ribosomal RNA is filed under the name uncultured bacterium. RNAcentral's name for it is "partial 16S ribosomal RNA". It matches the Rfam family "Bacterial small subunit ribosomal RNA", at positions 29 to 507 of the family's 1533-position model. The record is from RNAcentral.